Long non-coding RNA from Carassius gibelio (silver crucian carp), 654 nucleotides. RefSeq lists it as uncharacterized. Lineage: Eukaryota; Metazoa; Chordata; Actinopteri; Cypriniformes; Cyprinidae. The transcript has 2 exons. The record is from RefSeq and is a predicted model, not a curated record.
AACUGUGGUACACAGCACUACACUAAUACCUACGUGCUGGGUAACUCGAGCUAGAGUUCUUCACAGUGCACCCGGGACCCGCACGGGUUCGGGUCUAUAUUUUAAAUGAUCGGCCGGGUCCGGGUCGGGUCCAAAUCUAUUACUUCGGGUCCCGGGUCUGUUUAACAUUGUGUGUUAUACCCGUGCGAUCGGAGUCAUCGGACUCGGAGAACACCCGAACGUGAUCAGACACUGUUUUCUUGUAACUUACAACUUGUAUAAUUAGGAAAAGAAAAGUGUGAUCCAAAAAAAGAAAGAAAAAAGGGUAAACAGUCGAAGUUAUUAUGCGAGCUAACUCGAGUCAGAAUGUAUAGCCUACGUGCACAGUUGCAUUUGUCAUUCGUCACCGUGACAUCAAGCGGACUCUUGAAGCUGAAAUAAUGAGUGGAUUAAGCUUGGACUUGGAAUAACGAGAAGAAUAACAUUCAUAACUUUCUUGUCGGAGGAUUGUAAUGCAUCACAGACAGUCAGGUACAAGGAAGAAAAACUACGGCUCCUUAAAUUAGAGUUCUCUCAGGCUGAAAAAAAAAUGCAAAUGUGACCCUGGAGCACAAAACCAGUCCAAAUUGAGAUCUGCACAUCAUCUGAAAGCUGAAUAAAUCACAUUUCCAUUGA